Molecule: small RNA, 28 nt
Filed under: Bombyx mori (domestic silkworm)
Lineage: Eukaryota; Metazoa; Arthropoda; Insecta; Lepidoptera; Bombycidae
Description: ovarian small RNA-22938
Source: RNAcentral
UAGUAUAGCAAAUAGUAUGAUACUUUGC